This is a long non-coding RNA of Myzus persicae (green peach aphid), 588 nucleotides long. RefSeq lists it as uncharacterized. The record is from RefSeq and is a predicted model, not a curated record. Lineage: Eukaryota; Metazoa; Arthropoda; Insecta; Hemiptera; Aphididae. The transcript is spliced from 2 exons.
GCGACGUAUCGCUGUCUCGGCGGCGGCGGCGGCGGCGUCGUAGUCGGUCCGCGUGGCCAUGCGCGCCGAAACGUUCGCCGGUCGCAUCCUGCGCGCCCGGCACAGUCACGUGUGUAUCGCCGCAAAGGAUGCGGUGUCCUGCCACAGCCACCGUCACCGUCGCCACCACCACCGUCGCCACCACUAACGCCACCGCUAACGUCACCACCGCCACCGCAGCCGCCGACGUCGUUUUUCUAUUGUUAUCAUUCGACGACAACGCGUCGACAGCGGCGCACCGGUGCACUGGUGGUCGUCCGUCGUCGCCGGCCUCAUAAAACGCGACCACGCCGCCGCACACACGUCGUGUCGGCCACGACAGACGAGCGUGUGGACACCGCCGCCGCCGCCGCCGUCAUCAUCCGAUGUCCGAUUGCGACGCAUCGCACACGACCACACAGAAUCAAUUCAGCUCGGAGUAAUGUUUAGCCACAGUGUAUUUUAAAGGAAACAAAUCGCUUUUUCACUAUAUUAUGGCCAUUCUCCAAUCUUGCUGUUGUUUUCAGUCGCUUAGAACGGGAUGUUAUGCCAGCGUCAUUUAUGCAAUGG